RNAcentral lists this ribosomal RNA (422 nucleotides) under uncultured bacterium. RNAcentral describes it as "bacterial SSU rRNA". It matches the Rfam family "Bacterial small subunit ribosomal RNA", at positions 355 to 774 of the family's 1533-position model. The record is from RNAcentral.
UGAGGAAUAUUGGGCAAUGCCCGAAAGGGUUACCCAGCAACGCCGCGUGGAGGAUGAAGGUCGUAAGAUUGUAAACUCCUGUUAGAGGGGAAGAAUAACUAAGUUUGGAGCUUAGUAUGACUGUACCCUCAGAGAAAGCCCCGGCUAACUACGUGCCAGCAGCCGCGGUACUACGUAGGGGGCAAGCGUUGUCCGGAUUUACUGGGAGUACAGGGCGCGCAGGCGGAAUGGAAAGUCAGUGGUGAAAUCCUACAGCUUAACUGUAGAACUGCAUUUGAUACUUUCAUUCUUGAGGUCGGGAGAGAGAGACGGAAGUCCAGGUGUAGUGGUGAAAUACGUAGAGAUUUGGAAGAACACCAGUUGCGAAGGCGGUCUCUUGGUCCGAUACUGACGCUGAGGCGCGAACGCGUGGGGAGCAAACA